GGGCUGUUAGCUCAGCUGGUAGAGCGCUUCCAUGGCAUGGAAGAGGUCGCAAGUUCAAGUCUUGUACAGUCCA
Molecule: transfer RNA, 73 nt
Filed under: Candidatus Kaiserbacteria bacterium
Lineage: Bacteria; Candidatus Kaiseribacteriota
Description: tRNA-Ala
Rfam family: tRNA
About the family: Transfer RNA (tRNA) molecules are approximately 80 nucleotides in length.
Source: RNAcentral